ACACGAAGCUGGAAUCGCUAGUAAUCGUGAAUCAGAAUGUCACGGUGAAUACGUUCCCGGGUCUUGUACACACCGCCCGUCACACCAUGGGAGUCGGAAAUGCCCGAAGUCGGUGACCCAACCGUUUACGGAGGGAGCUGCCGAAGGCAGGUCUGGUGACUGGGGUGAAGUCGUAACAAGGUACC
This 185-nucleotide ribosomal RNA is filed under the name uncultured bacterium. Its description in RNAcentral is "partial 16S ribosomal RNA". It matches the Rfam family "Bacterial small subunit ribosomal RNA", at positions 1318 to 1500 of the family's 1533-position model. The record is from RNAcentral.